GGAAUUUUGGGCAAUGGGCGAAAGCCUGACCCAGCAACGCCGCGUGAGGGAUGAAGGCCUUCGGGUCGUAAACCUCUGUCAGGAGGGAAGAACGUGGCCGGGGCGAACAUUCCCGGUUACUUGACGGUACCUCCAAAGGACGGACCGGCUAACUCCGUGCCAGCAGCCGCGGUAAUACGGAGGGUCCAAGCGUUGUUCGGAAUCAUUGGGCGUAAAGCGCGUGUAGGCGGUCGAGUAAGUCAAAUGUGAAAUCCCGGGGCUCAACCCCGGAACUGCAUUCGAUACUCCUUGACUAGAGUCCCGGAGAGGAAGGCGGAAUUCCCGGUGUAGAGGUGAAAUUCGUAGAUAUCGGGAGGAACACCAGUGGCGAAGGCGGCCUUCUGGACGGUGACUGACGCUGAGACGCGAAAGCGUGGGGAGCAAAC
This 425-nucleotide ribosomal RNA is filed under the name uncultured bacterium. RNAcentral's name for it is "bacterial SSU rRNA". It matches the Rfam family "Bacterial small subunit ribosomal RNA", at positions 358 to 773 of the family's 1533-position model. The record is from RNAcentral.